GUUGGAGCAUCUGGGAGCAGGGAUUAGAGCAGGAGUGCUGGACUGAGGUGACGGUCAUCUGGGAGCAGGGAUUAGAGCACAGGCGCUGGAUUGAGGUGGGGGUGUUGGGAGCAGGGAUUAGAGCAGAGGUGCUGGAUUGAGGUGGGGGUGUUGGAGCAUCUGGGAGCAGGGAUUAGAGCAGAGGUGCUGGAUUGAGGUGGGGGUGUUGGAGCAUCUGGGAGCAGGGAUUAGAGCAGAGGUGCUGGAUUGAGGUGGGGGUGUUGGAGCAUCUGGGAGCAGGGAUUAGAGCACAGGCGCUGGAUUGAGGUGGGGGUGUUGGGAGCAGGGAUUAGAGCAGGAGUGCUGGACUGAGGUGGGGGUGUUGGAGCAUCUGGGAGCAGGGAUUAGAGCACAGGUGCUGGAUUGAGGUGGGGGUGUUGGGAGCAGGGAUUAGAGCAGGAGUGCUGGACUGAGGUGGGGGUGUUGGAGCAUCUGGGAGCAGGGAUUAGAGCAGAGGUGCUGGAUUGAGGUGCAGGUGUUGAAGGAGCAGGGAUUAGAGCAAGGGUGCUGGAUUGAGGUGGGGAUUUGGAAGCAGGAAUUAGAUCUUUCCUGGCUCCAACUAUGCACUGAGCAGAGGUCUCAACAAAGUUGCCCUCAGCAAUACCCAGAUCCUUUUUAGAGCACUGGGUUUACU
This is a long non-coding RNA of Gopherus flavomarginatus (Mexican gopher tortoise), 673 nucleotides long. RefSeq lists it as uncharacterized. The transcript is spliced from 3 exons. The record is from RefSeq and is a predicted model, not a curated record. Lineage: Eukaryota; Metazoa; Chordata; Testudines; Testudinidae.